GCCUGUGUGGCAUAGUGGUUCGAGCAUUGAACUGUGACUCUGGAGACCAGGGUUUGAAUCCCAGCUCAGCCA
Molecule: transfer RNA, 72 nt
Filed under: Phrynosoma platyrhinos (Desert horned lizard)
Lineage: Eukaryota; Metazoa; Chordata; Lepidosauria; Squamata; Phrynosomatidae
Description: tRNA-OTHER
Source: RNAcentral